AUUUCUCACAUGAGGUCCCGGCGAGAAGGACCUGCUUCCAUCAGAUUCACACUUGGGAGAGGGGCCCGGCCUCCAGGAGCGCCAGGCAGAAAGGGCACCCAUUAGGAAGAAGAACACAGAGGCCAUGGGAGUGAAAAGUUUGAUGCUGGAAAGCAACAGUAGCACAUUCUGCUACAGAGCGGAAUGAAAAACCCUGGGGAGCAAAUUCCUGAGCCAGAGAAUGGAGCGGAGGAACCAGCCAAGGAGGAUAAAGAGACUUAGCCUAGAAAAUAAUGAAGAAGGACAGAAAGAGAAUACCAUUCUACUACACCCGCUGAUGACUUAAAACCUGCGUGCUCUGAGGCUGCCCGACCCUGAGCUCCAGAACAGACCAUCGAGUUCAGGAGACAAGCAUGUCAGCCAUGACACAAGGCAGAUGAGAGGGACCCCCAGCGUCCACACGUGGAGGCAGCGGGGGCAGCCGUGACUUCCUUCUGCAGUGUUGAUUCAGCUCCCUUUGAAGGCGGAUCCAUACAAACAGGCUGACCAUCAGGGCUGGUCCCAGGCCACCAGGCU
RNAcentral lists this long non-coding RNA (555 nucleotides) under Homo sapiens (human). RNAcentral's name for it is "non-protein coding ITGB2-AS1:8". Lineage: Eukaryota; Metazoa; Chordata; Mammalia; Primates; Hominidae. The record is from RNAcentral.